GACGAACGCUGGCGGCGUGCUUAACACAUGCAAGUCGAACGGUAAGGCCCUUCGGGGUACACGAGUGGCGAACGGGUGAGUAACACGUGGGUGAUCUGCCCUGCACUUCGGGAUAAGCCUGGGAAACUGGGUCUAAUACCGGAUAGGACCAUUGCCUGCAUGGGUGGUGGGGGAAAGCUUUUGCGGUGUGGGAUGGGCCCGCGGCCUAUCAGCUUGUUGGUGGGGUGAUGGCCUACCAAGGCGACGACGGGUAGCCGGCCUGGGAGGGUGACCGGCCACACUGGGACUGAGAUACGGCCCAGACUCCUACGGGAGGCAGCAGUGGGGAAUAUUGCACAAUGGGCGCAAGCCUGAUGCAGCGACGCCGCGUGAGGGAUGACGGCCUUCGGGUUGUAAACCUCUUUCAGCAUCGACGAAGCGCAAGUGACGGUAGGUGCAGAAGAAGGACCGGCCAACUACGUGCCAGCCGCCGCCGUAA
Molecule: ribosomal RNA, 478 nt
Filed under: uncultured bacterium
Lineage: Bacteria
Description: partial 16S ribosomal RNA
Rfam family: Bacterial small subunit ribosomal RNA
Source: RNAcentral